This is a long non-coding RNA of Syngnathoides biaculeatus (alligator pipefish), 276 nucleotides long. RefSeq lists it as uncharacterized. The record is from RefSeq and is a predicted model, not a curated record. Lineage: Eukaryota; Metazoa; Chordata; Actinopteri; Syngnathiformes; Syngnathidae. The transcript is spliced from 3 exons.
CUGCCGCUUUUCUCUCCGUCUGCGUCGCCGUCAACCUGAGAAGACGCGGCGCGCUUUCACCGUCGCGUUCAUCUGCGACUGAGGUUGUGACUCACCCCGCCAGAAUAAAACAGGAACUGGAUCUUUUCUUCUCAUGAGCGAACAACUGGUUCAACAGCGCGUCGGCGAUAUGAUCUCAACCGCAAAAGUUUGCUUUAAACGAGGGAACCCGGAACCAAAAGCGACGGAGCCGUCGGUCCGCGUCGGUCUGGUCUGGACCCUACGGCGAAAAAAAAA